GCACCAGCUCCUCCCUGUACCUCAAGCCCCAUGACCCUCUGACUUGAUCAACAGCAACAGCAGCUCCCUCCCUGGUCUCCAGCUCCACAACCUUCAGCCUUAAACAGCAGCAGCACCAGCUCCUCCCUGGGUCUCCAGCUCCACAACCCUCAGACUAGAACCGCACCCCUCCUCCCUGAGUCUCCAGCUCCAUGACCGUCAAACUACAACAGCAACACAGGUUCCUGUCUGGAUCUCCAGCUCAGCAACUCUCAGAUGAGGCAGCACCGGCAACUCACCAAGGCUCCAGCUCCACAACCCUCAGAUUUGAAUAAUGGUAGCACCAGCUCCUGUCCAGAUCUCCAGCUUCAUGAUCCUUAAACUAGAACAGCAGCACCGCUGCCUCCCUGGGUUUCCAGCUCCACGACCCUAAGACAUGAAUGGCAGAACCGGCUUCCCACAAGGGUUCCAGCUCCAGGACCCACAGAUUUAAAUGGCAGCACUGGCUCUUCCCAGGAUUUCCAGCUCCACUACCCUCAAACUAGAAGAGGAGCACCGGCUCCUCCCUGGGUCUCCAGCUCCCAAACCCUCAGACAUCACCUGACACACUGGAUCCUCCCCACAGUUACAUAGCAGCACGGGCUGUCCCCGAAAACUCGAGAUCCACAACCCUCUGACUUCAAUGGCGGUAGUACUGGUUCCUCCCUAGGUCUCCAGUUCCAUGACCCUCAAACUACACAGCAGCACCAGCUCCUCCCCAGGUCUACAGCUCCACCACCCUCACACUAGACACCAGGACUACCUCCUCCCCGCUCUCCAGCUACACGACCCGCAGAUUUGAACAGCAGCAGCGUCUCCUCCCUGUACCUCAAGCCCCAUAACCCUCAUAUAUGAACAACAGCAAUACCAGCUAAUGCCUAGGGCUCCAGCUCCAGGAUCCACAGAUUUAAACUGCAGCACCAGCUCGUCCAAGGAUCUCCAGCUCCACCACCCUCAGACUAGAACAAGACCUCUACUCCCUGGGUCGCGAGCUUCCGGACCCUCGAACUAUGAAAACAUUGCUCCUCCCUGGGUCCGCAGCUCCACGACCCUCAAACCAGAUCAAGAUCUCUCCUCCCUGUGUCGUCAGCUUCCUGACCCUUGAACUAUGACAACAUUGCUCCUCCCUGGGUCAGCAGCUCCACAACCCUCAAACCAGAUCAAGAUCUCUCCUCCCUGGGUCGCCAGCUUCCUGACCCUCGAACAACAGAAACAUUACUCCUCCCUGGGUCAGCAGCUCCAUGAUCCUCAAACUAGAAUGAGACCUCUCCUCCCUGCGUCGCCAGCUUCUGGACCCUUGAACUAUGAAAAUAUUGCUCCUCCCUGGAUCUGCAGCUCCACGACCCUCAGACUAGAACACGAUCUGUCCUCCCUGGGUCACCAGCUUCCGAACCUUCGAACUAAAACAACAUUGCUCCUCCCUGGGUCUGCAGCUCCACGACCCUCAAACUAGAAAAAGACCUCUCCUCACUGUGUCGCCAGCUUCUGGACCCUCGAACUACAAAAACAUUGCUCCUGCCUGGGUCUGCAGCUCCACGACCCUCAAUCCAGAUCAAGAUCUCUCCUCCCUGUGUCAUCAGCUUCCUGACCCUCGAACUAUGACAGCAUUGCUCCUCCCUGGGCGCACCCUCAAACUAGAACAAGACCUCUCCACCCUGCGUCGCCAGUUUCCGGAGCCUCAAACUAAAACAACCUUGCUCCUCCCUGGGUCUGCAGCUCCACAACCCUCAAACUAGAACCAGACCUCUCCUCCCUGUGUUGCCAGCUUCCUGACCCUUGAACUAUGGAAACAUGGCUCCUCCCUAGGUCUGCAGCUCCACGACCCUCAAACUAAAACAAGAUCUCUCCUCCCUGGGUCUGCAGCUCCACGACCCUCAAACUAAAACAAGAUCUCUCCUCCCUGUGUCAUCAGCUUCCAGUCCCUCAAAUAACAACAUUGCUCCUCCCUGGGUCUGCAGCUCCACGACCCUCAAACUAAAACAAGACCUCUCCUCUCUAGGUCUGCAGCUUCCAGUCCCUCAAAUAACAACAUUGCUCCUCCCUGGAUCUGCAGCUCCAUGACUCUCAGACUACAACAAGAUCUCUCCUCCCUGGGUCACCAGCUUCCGGACCCUCGAACUACGAAAACAUUGCUCCUCCCUGGGUCUCCAGCUCCAUGACCCUCAAACUAAAACAAGAUCUCUCCUCCCUGUGUCAUCAGCUUCCAGUCCCUCAAAUAACAACAUUGCUCCUCCCUGGGUCUGCAGCUCCACGACCCUUAAACUAGAACAAGACCUCUCCUCACUGUGUCGCCAGCUUCCGGACCCUUGAACUAUGAAAACAUUGCUCCUCCCUGGAUCUGCAGCUCCACGACCCUCAGACUAGAACAAGAUCUCUCCUCCCUGGGUCACCAGCUUCCGGACCCUGGAACUACAAAAACAUUGCUCCUCCCUGGGUCUGCAGCUCCACAACCCUCAAACUAAAACAAGAUCUCUCCUCCCUGUGUUGCCAGCUUCCGGACCCUCGAACUAUGACAACAUUGCUCCUCCCUGGGUCUGCAGCUCCACGACCCUCAAAGCAGAUCAAGAUCUCUCCUUCCUGUGUCAUCAGCUUCCUGACCCUUGAACUAUGACAACAUUGCUCCUCCCUGGGUCUGCAGCUCCAUGACUCUCAAACUAGAACAGCAGCACCAGCUCCUUCCUGGACCUCCAGGUCAAUGACUCUCAGACUUCAAAGGCAGCAGCAGCUCCACCCCCAGGCUCCAGCUCUAAAACCCUCAGAUGUGAGCAGUGGCAGCACCAGCUCCUUUCUGCGUCUCCGGCUUCAUGAUCCUUAAAUUAGAACAGCAGCGCCAUCUUCUCCCUGCGUCUCCAGCUCCAGGAACCUCAAACUGCAACAGGAGCACCUGUUCCUCUGGGAUUUUCACCUCCACGACCCUGAGGUGUCAGUGGCAGCACUGGCUCCUCCCCUGGGCUGCAGCUCCAGAACCCUCAAGAAUAAUCCCUUCUCAUGAAAUGUAGCAGUCAGGAAAACUGCAGAGGAAGUAAAUAAAUAAAUGUUUUCUUUCAAACUGAUGUUUCUUUUAUAUUCACACAAGUCAGGAAACUUUUCUACUUUCCAUCAACCUUACAAUCUACUUAUAUUCAAUUGUAAGGUGGAAAUCCACCAUUUGAAAUAACCUUUAAAAACUUAGUAACUCUCUUUUACUAUGAUUUUAUCUCACAGCUCUAGAAACGAUCUUUCACUUUGCCUGUGCAGAAGUCUUGUGAACAUUCAAACUAGAAUUUACUUGGUUGAGAUUCUAGAAUACACGUUAUCCCCAGAUGUUCCUGCCCUCCUUAAAAUCUUCUAACAUGUUCCCCUCACCCGAGCAUAAAUGCCAGGUCCUAUCCACAGCCCACAGUGCCCAGCACGGCCCUGCCCUCUGCCCUGACCUUAUGGUCUCCCCUCUGCUGUUACUUUCCUCCCAGACAGGCCUCUGUCACUUCCUGAAACCACACAGGCUCAGGCCUGACUCCGGGCCUUUGCCCCUGCUGUGCCCCCUGCGUGGAGCGCCUUUGCCCGGCUCCCCAUCCUCCUCUCCACCCGCUCAGCUCCAGCCUGCUGGC
This 3605-nucleotide long non-coding RNA is filed under the name Homo sapiens (human). RNAcentral's name for it is "HSALNT0268162". Lineage: Eukaryota; Metazoa; Chordata; Mammalia; Primates; Hominidae. The record is from RNAcentral.